RNAcentral lists this long non-coding RNA (316 nucleotides) under Mytilus galloprovincialis (Mediterranean mussel). Lineage: Eukaryota; Metazoa; Mollusca; Bivalvia; Mytilida; Mytilidae. The record is from RNAcentral.
AUAUAUAAAUAGAUCAAUGUUUAAGAUUUUGAUUUUCAAAUAAGACGUCCUUCAAAAUUUUGUAACAUCACUCAGGUAGCAGCUGUCAGUGGAUCAAACCUAUUCCAGGGAUAUAAUAUGUAAAGAUGUGACAUUUUAAAUAAAGCGAGUAAAAUAACUGGUAUUUUCUUUCCGUAAUGCCACUAAUAGUAAUAUGAUAUAUCUGACUUGGAGCAACAUGUACUAUUCAAUAUGGAAGGAUUGACAAUUUUGACUGAGAACAAAGUGACCUCUAAUAAUGCUAUGACUAUCAAUCAGUAUUUCACUGAAUCAGAGG